This 270-nucleotide ribosomal RNA is filed under the name uncultured bacterium. RNAcentral's name for it is "partial 16S ribosomal RNA". It matches the Rfam family "Bacterial small subunit ribosomal RNA", at positions 28 to 293 of the family's 1533-position model. The record is from RNAcentral.
GAUGAACGCUGGCGGCGUGCCUAAUACAUGCAAGUCGAACGGGAGAAGCUGGGAGUAAUCUCGGCUUUGAGAGUGGCGGACGGGUGAGUAACACGUAGGCGACCUGCCCCGAAGUGGGGGAUAACGGCUGGAAACAGCCGCUAAGACCCCAUAAGCUCACGGGGGUUAGACGACCUGUGAGAAAAGAUUAAUCGCUUCGGGAGGGGCCUGCGGCCCAUCAGGUAGUUGGUGAGGUCACGGCNCACCAAGCCAAUGACGGGUAGGGGGCCU